RNAcentral lists this ribosomal RNA (64 nucleotides) under Peyritschia coahuilensis. RNAcentral's name for it is "Calamagrostis coahuilensis partial 26S ribosomal RNA". The record is from RNAcentral. Lineage: Eukaryota; Viridiplantae; Streptophyta; Magnoliopsida; Poales; Poaceae.
CCGACCGCGACCCCAGGUCAGGCGGGACUACCCGCUGAAUUUAAGCAUAUCAAUAAGCGAAGGA